This 253-nucleotide ribosomal RNA is filed under the name uncultured bacterium. Its description in RNAcentral is "partial 16S ribosomal RNA". It matches the Rfam family "Bacterial small subunit ribosomal RNA", at positions 524 to 776 of the family's 1533-position model. The record is from RNAcentral.
UACGUAGGGGGCUAGCGUUGUCCGGAUUUAUUGGGCGUAAAGAGCGUGUAGGCGGCCAUGUAGGUCCGGUGUGAAAACUCGAGGCUUAACCUCGAGAUGUCAUCGGAAACCAUUUGGCUAGAGUCCGGAAGAGGAGAGUGGAAUUCCUGGUGUAGCGGUGAAAUGCGCAGAUAUCAGGAAGAACACCAAUGGCGAAAGCAGCUCUCUGGGACGGUACUGACGCUGAGACGCGAAAGCUAGGGGAGCAAACAGG